UACGGAGGGAGCUAGCGUUGUUCGGAAUUACUGGGCGUAAAGCGCACGUAGGCGGCUUUUUAAGUCAGGGGUGAAAUCCCGGGGCUCAACCCCGGAACUGCCUUCGAAACUGGAGAGCUAGAAUCUUGGAGAGGCGAGUGGAAUUCCGAGUGUAGAGGUGAAAUUCGUAGAUAUUCGGAAGAACACCAGUGGCGAAGGCGACUCGCUGGACAAGUAUUGACGCUGAGGUGCGAAAGCGUGGGGAGCAAACAGG
Molecule: ribosomal RNA, 253 nt
Filed under: uncultured bacterium
Lineage: Bacteria
Description: partial 16S ribosomal RNA
Rfam family: Bacterial small subunit ribosomal RNA
Source: RNAcentral